GGGUUGUGAGGUUAAGCGACUAAGCGUACACGGUGGAUGCCCUGGCAGUCAGAGGCGAUGAAGGACGUGCUAAUCUGCGAUAAGCGUCGGUGAGGUGAUAUGAACCGUUAUAACCGGCGAUUUCCGAAUGGGGAAACCCAGUGUGUUUCGACACACUAUCAUUAACUGAAUCCAUAGGUUAAUGAGGCGAACCGGGGGAACUGAAACAUCUAAGUACCCCGAGGAAAAGAAAUCAACCGAGAUUCCCCCAGUAGCGGCGAGCGAACGGGGAGGAGCCCAGAGCCUGAAUCAGUGUGUGUGUUAGUGGAAGCGUCUGGAAAGGCGCGCGAUACAGGGUGACAGCCCCGUACACAAAAAUGCACAUAUUGUGAGCUCGAUGAGUAGGGCGGGACACGUGGUAUCCUGUCUGAAUAUGGGGGGACCAUCCUCCAAGGCUAAAUACUCCUGACUGACCGAUAGUGAACCAGUACCGUGAGGGAAAGGCGAAAAGAACCCCGGCGAGGGGAGUGAAAAAGAACCUGAAACCGUGUACGUACAAGCAGUGGGAGCCUCUUAAUGGGGUGACUGCGUACCUUUUGUAUAAUGGGUCAGCGACUUAUAUUCUGUAGCAAGGUUAACCGAAUAGGGGAGCCGAAGGGAAACCGAGUCUUAACUGGGCGUUAAGUUGCAGGGUAUAGACCCGAAACCCGGUGAUCUAGCCAUGGGCAGGUUGAAGGUUGGGUAACACUAACUGGAGGACCGAACCGACUAAUGUUGAAAAAUUAGCGGAUGACUUGUGGCUGGGGGUGAAAGGCCAAUCAAACCGGGAGAUAGCUGGUUCUCCCCGAAAGCUAUUUAGGUAGCGCCUCGUGAAUUCAUCUCCGGGGGUAGAGCACUGUUUCGGCAAGGGGGUCAUCCCGACUUACCAACCCGAUGCAAACUGCGAAUACCGGAGAAUGUUAUCACGGGAGACACACGGCGGGUGCUAACGUCCGUCGUGAAGAGGGAAACAACCCAGACCGCCAGCUAAGGUCCCAAAGUCAUGGUUAAGUGGGAAACGAUGUGGGAAGGCCCAGACAGCCAGGAUGUUGGCUUAGAAGCAGCCAUCAUUUAAAGAAAGCGUAAUAGCUCACUGGUCGAGUCGGCCUGCGCGGAAGAUGUAACGGGGCUAAACCAUGCACCGAAGCUGCGGCAGCGACACUAUGUGUUGUUGGGUAGGGGAGCGUUCUGUAAGCCUGUGAAGGUGUNNNNNNNNNNNNNNNNNNNNNNNNNNNNNNNNNNNNNNNNNNNNNNNNNNNNNNNNNNNNNNNNNNNNNNNNNNNNNNNNNNNNNNNNNNNNNNNNNNNUGCUGGAGGUAUCAGAAGUGCGAAUGCUGACAUAAGUAACGAUAAAGCGGGUGAAAAGCCCGCUCGCCGGAAGACCAAGGGUUCCUGUCCAACGUUAAUCGGGGCAGGGUGAGUCGACCCCUAAGGCGAGGCCGAAAGGCGUAGUCGAUGGGAAACAGGUUAAUAUUCCUGUACUUGGUGUUACUGCGAAGGGGGGACGGAGAAGGCUAUGUUGGCCGGGCGACGGUUGUCCCGGUUUAAGCGUGUAGGCUGGUUUUCCAGGCAAAUCCGGAAAAUCAAGGCUGAGGCGUGAUGACGAGGCACUACGGUGCUGAAGCGACAAAUGCCCUGCUUCCAGGAAAAGCCUCUAAGCAUCAGGUAACAUCAAAUCGUACCCCAAACCGACACAGGUGGUCAGGUAGAGAAUACCAAGGCGCUUGAGAGAACUCGGGUGAAGGAACUAGGCAAAAUGGUGCCGUAACUUCGGGAGAAGGCACGCUGAUAUGUAGGUGAAGCGACUUGCUCGUGGAGCUGAAAUCAGUCGAAGAUACCAGCUGGCUGCAACUGUUUAUUAAAAACACAGCACUGUGCAAACACGAAAGUGGACGUAUACGGUGUGACGCCUGCCCGGUGCCGGAAGGUUAAUUGAUGGGGUUAGCGGUAACGCGAAGCUCUUGAUCGAAGCCCCGGUAAACGGCGGCCGUAACUAUAACGGUCCUAAGGUAGCGAAAUUCCUUGUCGGGUAAGUUCCGACCUGCACGAAUGGCGUAAUGAUGGCCAGGCUGUCUCCACCCGAGACUCAGUGAAAUUGAACUCGCUGUGAAGAUGCAGUGUACCCGCGGCAAGACGGAAAGACCCCGUGAACCUUUACUAUAGCUUGACACUGAACAUUGAGCCUUGAUGUGUAGGAUAGGUGGGAGGCUUUGAAGUGUGGACGCCAGUCUGCAUGGAGCCGACCUUGAAAUACCACCCUUUAAUGUUUGAUGUUCUAACGUGGGCCCCUUACCGGGGUUGCGGACAGUGUCUGGUGGGUAGUUUGACUGGGGCGGUCUCCUCCUAAAGAGUAACGGAGGAGCACGAAGGUUGGCUAAUCCUGGUCGGACAUCAGGAGGUUAGUGCAAUGGCAUAAGCCAGCUUGACUGCGAGCGUGACGGCGCGAGCAGGUGCGAAAGCAGGUCAUAGUGAUCCGGUGGUUCUGAAUGGAAGGGCCAUCGCUCAACGGAUAAAAGGUACUCCGGGGAUAACAGGCUGAUACCGCCCAAGAGUUCAUAUCGACGGCGGUGUUUGGCACCUCGAUGUCGGCUCAUCACAUCCUGGGGCUGAAGUAGGUCCCAAGGGUAUGGCUGUUCGCCAUUUAAAGUGGUACGCGAGCUGGGUUUAGAACGUCGUGAGACAGUUCGGUCCCUAUCUGCCGUGGGCGCUGGAGAACUGAGGGGGGCUGCUCCUAGUACGAGAGGACCGGAGUGGACGCAUCACUGGUGUUCGGGUUGUCAUGCCAAUGGCACUGCCCGGUAGCUAAAUGCGGAAGAGAUAAGUGCUGAAAGCAUCUAAGCACGAAACUUGCCCCGAGAUGAGUUCUCCCUGACUCCUUGAGAGUCCUGAAGGAACGUUGAAGACGACGACGUUGAUAGGCCGGGUGUGUAAGCGCAGCGAUGCGUUGAGCUAACCGGUACUAAUGAACCGUGAGGCUUAACCUUACAACGCCGAAG
RNAcentral lists this ribosomal RNA (3013 nucleotides) under Escherichia coli. RNAcentral's name for it is "23S ribosomal RNA". It matches the Rfam family "Bacterial large subunit ribosomal RNA". The record is from RNAcentral. Lineage: Bacteria; Pseudomonadati; Pseudomonadota; Gammaproteobacteria; Enterobacterales; Enterobacteriaceae.